GGGCAGAUACCGAAGCGGUUAACGGCACCGCCUGCAGAGCGGUUGUUCGGGGGAAGACUCUCGAAUUCGAAUCCCUCUCUGCCCU
RNAcentral lists this transfer RNA (85 nucleotides) under Candidatus Woesearchaeota archaeon. RNAcentral describes it as "tRNA-Cys". It matches the Rfam family "tRNA". Rfam says of the family: Transfer RNA (tRNA) molecules are approximately 80 nucleotides in length. Their secondary structure includes four short double-helical elements and three loops (D, anti-codon, and T loops). The record is from RNAcentral. Lineage: Archaea; Nanobdellati; Candidatus Woesearchaeota.